GACGAACGCUGGCGGCGUGCUUAACACAUGCAAGUCGAGCGGUAAGGCCCUUUCGGGGUACACGAGCGGCGAACGGGUGAGUAACACGUGGGUGACCUGCCCUCAGCUCUGGGAUAAGCCUGGGAAACCGGGUCGUAAUACUGGAUAUGACUCCAUGACGCAUGUUGUGGGGUGGAAAGCCUUGUGCGGCUGAGGAUGGGCCCGCGGCCUAUCAGCUUGUUGGUGGGGGAUGGCCUACCAAGGCGACGACGGGUAGCCGGCCUGAGAGGGCGGACC
Molecule: ribosomal RNA, 276 nt
Filed under: uncultured bacterium
Lineage: Bacteria
Description: partial 16S ribosomal RNA
Rfam family: Bacterial small subunit ribosomal RNA
Source: RNAcentral